RNAcentral lists this long non-coding RNA (218 nucleotides) under Capsicum annuum. RNAcentral's name for it is "long non-coding RNA (CANN_LNC008028)". The record is from RNAcentral. Lineage: Eukaryota; Viridiplantae; Streptophyta; Magnoliopsida; Solanales; Solanaceae.
AAAUGCAUGAAGAUCUAUAAAUACUAAGGAUGCAUAACCAAGCAUAUAACAUAAACUGAGAAAAAUCUGUAAACUGAAAUAUUGAAAAAUAUUAAUAUCGUAUGCUUUGGUCAAACAAUACUAAGACUGAAUAACUGAGCUGGGACUGUAACUGAGUCUAUAUCUAAGACUGUGGGAGGUAUUAUCUAACCGACAUUCCCUAAUUUGAGCAAAUCAAG